GGUAAUACGGAGGGUGCAAGCGUUAUCCGGAAUCAUUGGGUUUAAAGGGUCCGCAGGCGGUCAAUUAAGUCAGAGGUGAAAUCCCAUAGCUUAACUAUGGAACUGCCUUUGAUACUGGUUGACUUGAGUUAUACGGAAGUAGAUAGAAUGUGUAGUGUAGCGGUGAAAUGCAUAGAUAUUACACAGAAUACCGAUUGCGAAGGCAGUCUACUACGUAUAUACUGACGCUCAUGGACGAAAGCGUGGGGAGCGAACGGGAUUAGAUACCCCGGUAGUCCACGCCGUAAACGAUGGACACUAGUUGUUGGGAUUUAUCUCAGUGACUAAGCGAAAGUGAUAAGUGUCCCACCUGGGGAGUACGGUCGCAAGAUUGAAACUCAAAGG
RNAcentral lists this ribosomal RNA (384 nucleotides) under uncultured bacterium. RNAcentral describes it as "bacterial SSU rRNA". It matches the Rfam family "Bacterial small subunit ribosomal RNA", at positions 519 to 907 of the family's 1533-position model. The record is from RNAcentral.